This 71-nucleotide transfer RNA is filed under the name Phytophthora infestans (potato late blight agent). RNAcentral describes it as "tRNA-Thr". Lineage: Eukaryota; Oomycota; Peronosporomycetes; Peronosporales; Peronosporaceae. The record is from RNAcentral.
GAGUGGCUCAGCGGUACAGUGCCGAGGUUCUCGUGAAGCUGGUCACCGGUUCGAUCCCGGCGUCAGCUCCA